GGGGGUGAACGGCUUCGACAUCGUUCGAAAUGACAGUUGAAGCGGGCAGAGAAUCAAUGGUUAUCUCUUAAACAUUCCAUUGAACCUAAAAAUGCCAAACAUAAGGCAUCUGAUUUCGCCCUUGCUGCUUAAUAAGUAGUAAGCCCGAAUCCGUCGACCCAGGGCCGCUUCCUUCCUGGAUUUCGGCGUCGCUGCGGAAGCUAACAAAGUGUGGGGGUCACGACCACAUAAUGGAAAUCUCUUUGUGACUUGAGCCAAGUGUUGCGACGGGCCACGAGAUGCGCAACGGCUGACUACUUGAAAUUGUGGCUGCGCCCGGAGAAUGCCUGAAGUUAUGACGUUGGACGCGGGUUCGAUUCCCGCCACCUCCACCA
This 374-nucleotide transfer-messenger RNA is filed under the name Candidatus Nanopelagicales. RNAcentral's name for it is "AcAMD-5 sp016870575 Standard tmRNA". It matches the Rfam family "transfer-messenger RNA". Rfam says of the family: Bacterial tmRNA, also known as 10Sa RNA or SsrA, is named for its dual tRNA and mRNA-like properties. Its role is to liberate the mRNA from a stalled ribosome. To accomplish this part of the tmRNA is used as a reading frame that ends in a translation stop signal. The record is from RNAcentral. Lineage: Bacteria; Bacillati; Actinomycetota; Actinomycetes. RNAcentral also lists the same sequence under 1 other name.